This 785-nucleotide ribosomal RNA is filed under the name uncultured bacterium. Its description in RNAcentral is "bacterial SSU rRNA". It matches the Rfam family "Bacterial small subunit ribosomal RNA", at positions 28 to 795 of the family's 1533-position model. The record is from RNAcentral.
GAUGAACGCUGGCGGCGUGCCUAAUACAUGCAAGUCGAGCGAACAGAUAAGGAGCUUGCUCCUUUGAAGUUAGCGGCGGACGGGUGAGUAACACGUGGGUAACCUACCUAUAAGACUGGAAUAACUUCGGGAAACCGGAGCUAAUGCCGGAUAACAUAUAGAACCGCAUGGUUCUAUAGUGAAAGAUGGUUUUGCUAUCACUUAUAGAUGGACCCGCGCCGUAUUAGCUAGUUGGUAAGGUAAAGGCUUACCAAGGCGACGAUACGUAGCCGACCUGAGAGGGUGAUCGGCCACACUGGAACUGAGACACGGUCCAGACUCCUACGGGAGGCAGCAGUAGGGAAUCUUCCGCAAUGGGCGAAAGCCUGACGGAGCAACGCCGCGUGAGUGAUGAAGGUUUUCGGAUCGUAAAACUCUGUUAUUAGGGAAGAACAAAUGCGUAAGUAACUGUGCGCAUCUUGACGGUACCUAAUCAGAAAGCCACGGCUAACUACGUGCCAGCAGCCGCGGUAAUACGUAGGUGGCAAGCGUUAUCCGGAAUUAUUGGGCGUAAAGCGCGCGUAGGCGGUUUCUUAAGUCUGAUGUGAAAGCCCACGGCUCAACCGUGGAGGGUCAUUGGAAACUGGGAAACUUGAGUGCAGAAGAGGAAAGUGGAAUUCCAUGUGUAGCGGUGAAAUGCGCAGAGAUAUGGAGGAACACCAGUGGCGAAGGCGACUUUCUGGUCUGUAACUGACGCUGAUGUGCGAAAGCGUGGGGAUCAAACAGGAUUAGAUACCCUGGUAGUC